Molecule: small RNA, 127 nt
Filed under: human gut metagenome
Description: Ribosomal protein L10 leader
Rfam family: Ribosomal protein L10 leader
About the family: This family is a putative r-protein leader autoregulatory structure found in B. subtilis and other low-GC Gram-positive bacteria. It is located in the 5' untranslated regions of mRNAs encoding ribosomal proteins L10 and L12 (rplJ-rplL).
Source: RNAcentral
UUCUUUUCCUAAGACAGCAGGUGCAUAACGCAUAAAGGAUUAUCCUGCCUGCCGAGGUUCGGAGCAUAAUUUUAUUUCUUUAUAAAAUUAUUCUGCCCCUCUGCACGUCAGGGGGGCUUGUUUUAUG